UCCUGGCUUAGGAUGAACGCUGGCGGCGUGCUUAACACAUGCAAGUCGAACGGAGUUUAUUUUACGAUUCCUUCGGGGAUGACGAGAUAAGACUUAGUGGCGGACGGGUGAGUAACGCGUGGGUAACCUGCCUCAUACAGGGGGAUAACAGUUUGAAACGACUGUUAAUACCGCAUAAGCGCACGGUAUUGCAUGAUACAGUGUGAAAAACUCCGGUGGUAUGAGAUGGACCCGCGUCUGAUUAGAUAGUUGGUGGGGUAACGGCCUACCAAGUCGACGAUCAGUAGCCGGCCUGAGAGGGUGAACGGCCACAUUGGGACUGAGACACGGCCCAAACUCCUACGGGAGGCAGCAGUGGGGAAUAUUGCACAAUGGGGGAAACCCUGAUGCAAGCGACGCCGCGUGAGCGAUUGAAGUAUUUCGGUAUGUAAAGCUCUAUCAGCAGGGAAGAAAAUGGCGGUACCUGACUAAGAAGCCCCGGCUAACUACGUGCCAGCAGCGGC
RNAcentral lists this ribosomal RNA (503 nucleotides) under uncultured bacterium. RNAcentral's name for it is "bacterial SSU rRNA". It matches the Rfam family "Bacterial small subunit ribosomal RNA", at positions 17 to 518 of the family's 1533-position model. The record is from RNAcentral.